GCUGCAGCAGAACCUGGACUGCGGUGAGCGAGCGCGGGGCUCGCUGCCCUGGGGCUGGGCUGGCCCCCGCGGGCCGGGCGAGGGUGGGCCCUGAUCUGGCCCCACCGAACCAGGCCCCCAGAGGCAGCCCUGGAAAGCUCUCCAGACCCCCGUCCAGGCCUCUGACCGCAGCGGGAAGGCACACGUGCUGGGAGACGACGAGACGUUCCCGUCUGCCAGCCUCCCCAAUCGCACCUUCCACAAGCGACAGGAGGCCACCAGCCUGCUGCAGGCCUGGGAGCGGCAGCAGCAGGAGGAGCGGCGCCAGGCUGAGCUGCGGCGGGCCCGGGAGCAACGGGUGCAGCAGCAGGUAGCCCGCUGCCUGGCCACCUACGGGUCCCGCGCAGGCCGGAGGCCCUGGGCCAACCAGCGCAAACUGGAGGAGCUGAGGUAGGCAGCCUGGGCUGAGAGGGCUGGGUGGCGGGGAACGGCUGGGGCUGGUUGGGGGUCGGAUUCCAGAACCCAGCGGACCCAGCCCUGACCACACUGGAGAGCAGUCUGAUGGCUUCUAGUCAACUCUAAUCCCUCCGCCGCCAAAGGCUCACGGUGAAAAUCGUGUAGGCGCCAAUGACACUUUCCCAUCCUGUUUUCCGAUCUGCAAGGCCAGAUAUGCUUGUCAUAAAAUAUGGAACUGGUUACCGUGGGACCUGCACGGCCCCUGUCGCCCUACUCCCGAGCCAGCCAUUGCUCACGGUCAAGUGAGAGCCAUCUGUUGUAUUCUCUUCCUAGCUUUGUCUAAGAAGUGAACUCACAAGUCAGGCAAAUUUUUAUUUCCUUACUUGUCGGAGAGACAGAUCUCUCAUCUGCUGGUUCACUCCUCCAAUGCUUCCAGCGGCCAGAGCGCUGGAGCCAAGACCCAGAACUCAGUCCAUGUCUCCUGUGGGGGUAGCAGGGACCCAAGCAUUCGAGCCAUCAGCUGCCUUCUCAGGGUGCGCACUAGCAGGCAGCUGGAAUUAGAAGUGCAGCCAGGAUUCGGCCCAGGCACACUGAUGUGGACGCUGGCUCCCAGGC
This 1050-nucleotide long non-coding RNA is filed under the name Oryctolagus cuniculus (rabbit). RNAcentral describes it as "lncRNA (ENSOCUG00000022795.3)". The record is from RNAcentral. Lineage: Eukaryota; Metazoa; Chordata; Mammalia; Lagomorpha; Leporidae.